UCUGUGCGGAUGGAAGGUUACGCAGUCUGGCCUGUGGGAAGAGCAGUAUCAUCAUAGCAGCUGAUGAUAGCACUAUUAGCUGGGGACCAUCGCCCACAUUUGGAGAGCUGGGGUAUGGUGACAACAAACCCAAGUCAUCCACCACUGCUCAAGAGGUCAAAACUCUGGAUGGCGUGUAAGGUCGAACAGGUG
Long non-coding RNA from Cyprinus carpio (common carp), 192 nucleotides. RefSeq lists it as uncharacterized. The transcript has 3 exons. Lineage: Eukaryota; Metazoa; Chordata; Actinopteri; Cypriniformes; Cyprinidae. The record is from RefSeq and is a predicted model, not a curated record.